GACGAACGCUGGCGGCGUGCUUAACACAUGCAAGUCGAACGGAAAGGCCCUGCUUUUGUGGGGUGCUCGAGUGGCGAACGGGUGAGUAACACGUGAGUAACCUGCCCUUGACUUUGGGAUAACUUCAGGAAACUGGGGCUAAUACCGGAUAGGAGCUCCUGCUGCAUGGUGGGGGUUGGAAAGUUUCGGCGGUUGGGGAUGGACUCGCGGCUUAUCAGCUUGUUGGUGGGGUAGUGGCUUACCAAGGCUUUGACGGGUAGCCGGCCUGAGAGGGUGACCGGCCCCAUUGGGACUGAGGUACGGACCAGACUCCUACGGGAGGCAGCAGUGGGGAAUAUUGCACAAUGGGCGGAAGCCUGAUACAGCAGCGCCGCGUGCGGGAUGACGGCCUUCGGGUUGUAAACCGCUUUCGCCUGUGACGAAGCGUGGGUGACGGUAAUGGGUAAAGAAGCACCGGCUAACUACGUG
RNAcentral lists this ribosomal RNA (468 nucleotides) under uncultured bacterium. RNAcentral describes it as "partial 16S ribosomal RNA". It matches the Rfam family "Bacterial small subunit ribosomal RNA", at positions 28 to 507 of the family's 1533-position model. The record is from RNAcentral.